Molecule: ribosomal RNA, 127 nt
Filed under: Pichia membranifaciens
Lineage: Eukaryota; Fungi; Ascomycota; Pichiomycetes; Pichiales; Pichiaceae
Description: partial 26S rRNA
Source: RNAcentral
GGCCAGCAUCGGUUCUUGCUGCGGGAGAAUGGGUGCCGGAAAGUGGCUCUUAGGAGUGUUAUAGCCGGNACNAGAUACGNNUGCGGGGACCGAGGACUGCGGCUUCUGUCUAGGAUGCUGGNAUAAU